Molecule: ribosomal RNA, 624 nt
Filed under: uncultured bacterium
Lineage: Bacteria
Description: bacterial SSU rRNA
Rfam family: Bacterial small subunit ribosomal RNA (bases 1-533)
Source: RNAcentral
CCUACGGGAGGCAGCAGUGAGGAAUAUUGGACAAUGGGCGCAAGCCUGAUCCAGCCAUGCCGCGUGCAGGAUGAAGCAUCUAUGGUGUGUAAACUGCUUUUGUACAGGAAGAAACCUCCCGACGUGUCGGGAAUUGACGGUACUGUAAGAAUAAGGAUCGGCUAACUCCGCGCCAGCAGCCGCGGUAAUACGGAGGAUCCAAGCGUUAUCCGGAAUCAUUGGGUUUAAAGGGUCCGUAGGCGGACCAGUAAGUCAGUGGUGAAAUCUCUCCGCUCAACGGGGAAAUGGCCAUUGAUACUGCUGGUCUUGAAUUAUUAGGAAGUAACUAGAAUAUGUAGUGUAGCGGUGAAAUGCUUAGAGAUUACAUGGAAUACCAAUUGCGAAGGCAGGUUACUACUAAUGGAUUGACGCUGAUGGACGAAAGCGUGGGUAGCGAACAGGAUUAGAUACCCUGGUAGUCCACGCCGUAAACGAUGGAUACUAGCUGUUGGGGGCAACUUCAGUGGNGUAGAGAAGUAGAUAAGUAUACCACCGUCGGAGGUACGUUCGCGAGAAGUAGAACGUACGAAGAAAGUUAGUACGGACGUAGAGACGUUAGCCGACGGACGACGACGAGGGAGGAGG